CCUACGUGAGGCAGCAGUGGGGAAUAUUGCGCAAUGGGCGAAAGCCUGACGCAGCGACGCCGCGUGAGGGAUGAAGGUCUUCGGAUCGUAAACCUCUGUCAGCAGGGAAGAACGGUCACUUUGCUAAUCAGCAGUGAAUUGACGGUACCUGCAAAGGACGCACCGGCUAACUCCGUGCCAGCAGCCGCGGUAAUACGGAGGGUGCGAGCGUUAAUCGGAAUUACUGGGCGUAAAGCGCUCGUAGGCGGUAUGUCAAGUCAAGGGUGAAAUCCCCGCGCUCAACGUGGGAACUGCCUUUGAAACUGGCAAACUGGAGAGUGUGAGAGGAUAGUGGAAUUCAAGGUGUAGGAGUGAAAUCCGUAGAUAUCUGGAGGAACAUCAGUGGCGAAGGCGACUAUCUGGCACAUAACUGACGCUGAGGAGCGAAAGCGUGGGUAGCAAACAGGAUUAGAUACCCCAGUAGUC
RNAcentral lists this ribosomal RNA (465 nucleotides) under uncultured bacterium. Its description in RNAcentral is "partial 16S ribosomal RNA". It matches the Rfam family "Bacterial small subunit ribosomal RNA", at positions 338 to 795 of the family's 1533-position model. The record is from RNAcentral.